RNAcentral lists this ribosomal RNA (403 nucleotides) under uncultured bacterium. RNAcentral describes it as "bacterial SSU rRNA". It matches the Rfam family "Bacterial small subunit ribosomal RNA", at positions 356 to 773 of the family's 1533-position model. The record is from RNAcentral.
GGGGAAUAUUGGGCAAUGGGCGCAAGCCUGACCCAGCAACGCCGCGUGAGGGAAGAAGGCUUUCGGGUUGUAAACCUCUGUCCUUGGUGACGAACACAAUGACGGUAGCCAAGGAGGAAGCCCCGGCUAACUACGUGCCAGCAGCCGCGGUAAUACGUAGGGGGCGAGCGUUGUCCGGAAUUACUGGGCGUAAAGGGUGCGUAGGUGGCACUUUAAGUUGGAUGUGAAAUACCCGAGCUUAACUUGGGGGCUGCAUCGAAUACUGGAGAGCUAGAGUGCAGGAGAGGGAAGUGGAAUUCCUAGUGUAGCGGUGAAAUGCGUAGAUAUUAGGAGGAACACCAGUGGCGAAGGCGACUUUCUGGACUGUAACUGACACUGAGGCACGAAAGCGUGGGGAGCAAAC